Acanthosepion pharaonis is the source of this 113-nucleotide non-coding RNA. The record is from the annotation of a GenBank genome assembly. NCBI's taxonomy places the organism in Eukaryota, Metazoa, Mollusca, Cephalopoda, Sepiida, Sepiidae.
UAUGGCCACAUCAUGUUGAAACACUGAUUCCUGUACGAUCAUUGAAAUUAAGCAAUGUUGAUCCUGGUUAAUACUUAGAUGAGUGACCCCUUGCGAAUAUCAGGUGCUGUAAG